Long non-coding RNA from Chroicocephalus ridibundus (black-headed gull), 893 nucleotides. RefSeq lists it as uncharacterized. The transcript has 3 exons. Lineage: Eukaryota; Metazoa; Chordata; Aves; Charadriiformes; Laridae. The record is from RefSeq and is a predicted model, not a curated record.
CUACGGAAUACCUGAAUGCUUUUAGUGUAAAAGUGCAGAGCAGACGCAAGGAGCAAUGGGAGAAGAGUGUGAAGGCUUUGCUGCUGAGAACCAUGCUGCCCAUGAGCCAGGUGGUGUAAAGCCACAAAGAAGCUGUACGGUGCUGUCAGUCCUGGUGAUGAUACGCCCUCCUGUGAACUGGACUCGGGGCAGAAUCUGAUGUAGUCAUAUAUCUGUUGAUAUAUGCCAAAUCACAGAUCCAUACUCCUACGUAGAAGAGACAUCGACAGCCCGCCUUGCCAACAGGAGAACCAUUUAUGUGGCCAGCAUUUGGAUGCCAAGUGCAUGAAGUUGCUUUUCUUUUGAACCUGGUGGCAAGUCAGUCUGACCAUCUCAAUGCACAGAGGUGACCAGCUUUCUCUGCCGGGGCAAUUCUUUUCUUGCCACCAUGCCCAGGCUGCCCUGGGGGUUGCCUCCACGCUGCCCCCAGCCUGGUGGAGACCCCAUCCGCUUUACUAGACCCCAUCCGCUCAUGACUGUAUCUGGAUUUUGAGGAUAUUUUAACAUUAGAGUAACUUAUUAUGGAAAACGACAGAUUGUCUGUCACUGGAAACCUUGAGGAGAGGCUUUCUAAAACGUGCCCUUGAUGUCAGCUGGCUGCGAGGCAGGAAUCCCUGCAUGGCGUUCCUCCGUCUGCCUUUUGCUAAAGAGCAGCCUGAACGAUUGUCGCGAUUCCUCUCCCUCCCUGAAAAUCUGCCUAGGAAAUCCUGCGUCUGCGGCAGUCAAUGGCAGCUUUCAUAACCCGUGACUGUGCAGGGCUUUCUCCACUUUCUUCGCAGCGACUACCCUUCGUUCUUCCUUCCCGCUGGGAUAAGCAAGCUAUAUCUAAGAGAGACAGAGAGCAGAGGGGAGCC